RNAcentral lists this long non-coding RNA (285 nucleotides) under Mustela putorius furo (domestic ferret). RNAcentral describes it as "lncRNA (ENSMPUG00000024303.1)". Lineage: Eukaryota; Metazoa; Chordata; Mammalia; Carnivora; Mustelidae. The record is from RNAcentral.
GCCUUCGUUAGGCCCAGAGAUGGCUCUUCCCCCAAGAGGCAGGACAAUCUUUAACCUCCACCUCUGCCUCUAGACUCUGGGGAGGUCCGGGAAGGCAGAAAGAGACCUCUCACGCCCCACUUGCCUGGAGAUACCAACCACAUGCCCCUGGAGCUCCCUGCCUGGUACCCAGGGGUGCCCUGGCCUUGACUCGACUUGUACAGUUCGCACAACGACCCGGUUAAGAUCCCCAUGGACAGGGGAGGAAGGCAAGGCACAGAGAGGCUAAGUCACUUGCUCAAGGUA